GAGGGAGAAAAUACCUGGUAAAUACGCACUUGCCACAUACAAGUAAAUAUGCAUUAUGCACAUCUCUACUAUACACUUUGUCUGACAGUACUCAGCUGUCCUUUUAAUUUUUAAGUGUUUACCAUUAUAAUUAUCUUUGGUGUUUACAAAUAUUGCAAAGAAAUUGAUUAGGAUACAUACCAACGGAAAGUUAUUACUUUGGAACCAUGGAAAAAGACAAAAAGUGUCAUAUAGAAAAAUUACCAUCAGAAAUUUUAGUUACAAUACUCCAGCAUGCAAAAAUCGAAGAUAUUAUUGCUUUUGGUGCAACUUGCAAGUAUUAUAAUGAUAUGGUAAAGGAUUGUCAGAUAAUAUGGAAGACAAAAUUGAAAAAUAUGAUUCCAUCUGAAUUAUUUUACACACUUGCUGCGGUUGUUAACGACGGAGUUUGGUUCGACCGCGUUAAAGAAUUUUAUACAAUUAAGCAAAAAGUGUAUAGCGAAAUCUUAGCCAUGUCGCCCAAAUACUUCUGGCAAGACAAUAGCUUAACAUUACAUGAUGUGAGAAGGUUUUUUACAAUAGCCUUAAACAACAACAUGCACUAUUAUUACACAAUUUACCUAUUACAAGACCUGGUUACU
Molecule: long non-coding RNA, 620 nt
Organism: Manduca sexta (tobacco hornworm)
Lineage: Eukaryota; Metazoa; Arthropoda; Insecta; Lepidoptera; Sphingidae
Exons: 3
Source: RefSeq, a predicted model, not a curated record